GACGAACGCUGGCGGCGUGCUUAACACAUGCAAGUCGAACGGAAAGGCCCUGCUUUUGUGGGGUGCUCGAGUGGCGAACGGGUGAGUAACACGUGAGUAACCUGCCCUUGACUUUGGGAUAACUUCAGGAAACUGGGGCUAAUACCGGAUAGGAGCUCCUGCUGCAUGGUGGGGGUUGGAAAGUUUCGGCGGUUGGGGAUGGACUCGCGGCUUAUCAGCUUGUUGGUGGGGUAGUGGCUUACCAAGGCUUUGACGGGUAGCCGGCCUGAGAGGGUGACCGGCCACAUUGGGACUGAGAUACGGCUCAGACUCCUACGGGAGGCAGCAGUGGGGAAUAUUGCACAAUGGGCGGAAGCCUGAUGCAGCAACGCCGCGUGCGGGAUGACGGCCUUCGGGUUGUAAACCGCUUUCGCCUGUGACGAGGCGUGAGUGACGGUAAUGGGUAAAGAAGCACCGGCUAACUACGUG
Molecule: ribosomal RNA, 468 nt
Filed under: uncultured bacterium
Lineage: Bacteria
Description: partial 16S ribosomal RNA
Rfam family: Bacterial small subunit ribosomal RNA
Source: RNAcentral